This is a non-coding RNA of Podarcis lilfordi (Lilford's wall lizard), 76 nucleotides long. The record is from the annotation of a GenBank genome assembly. NCBI's taxonomy places the organism in Eukaryota, Metazoa, Chordata, Lepidosauria, Squamata, Lacertidae.
GGAAGGUGCCAUGGCUCAGUGGCAGAGCAUCUAAUUUGCAUGCAGAAGGCCUCAGGUUCGAUCCCCGGCCUUUCCA